Molecule: long non-coding RNA, 1471 nt
Filed under: Ovis aries (sheep)
Lineage: Eukaryota; Metazoa; Chordata; Mammalia; Artiodactyla; Bovidae
Description: lncRNA (ENSOARG00000026292.1)
Source: RNAcentral
AUGUCUGGGACUCCACCACUGAGUCAAAGAAACUCCCAAGUUUUUGAUACACAUCUUAGACCUGUCCACCAGCCACUGGAAAUGACAACCCUCCUGACAUCUUCAAGGGAUGUCCAGUGUCUUAAGUACCUCUUUUUCUUUGUUUCUGCAUAUAGAUAUUAUCUGCAGAUCCUAUACUUACAUUUAAUUCUCUUUAAAACUUGUUUUAUUCUGUUUAGCCCAAUUUAAUAAUCAUUUUCAGAGAAUUUCAUGUAUACGUAUUUUACUUUAUCACAUCAUCUUUCAAAUAACUCAGCUAAUAUUUAUUUAAACUCCCUUUAACCUUUAAUGAAAUGCCUAGGAUGUAGUUUCAGAAAAGGAAAGGCAUAAAAUAUUUUAGGCUAAUUGCAUUGUUUUCCUCUCAGCAAGUAGUUGGGCAGAUAUAAUAGUAACCAUAACCUGACUAUUUAAUUUCUUCAGAGCAGAUUCUGAAUUUUGUUCAUCAUUGUAUUCCCAGAACCUAGUACAAGUGUAUGUCAUAUUUAGGGCUUAUUAAUGUGUUUUCUUUUUUUUUUCCCAGGGAAUGCAUGGUUUUGAGGGGCUUCCCAGGGAGGUGCAGUGGUAAAGAAUCCUCCUGCAAUGCAGGAGAUGCAACAGAUGUGGGUUUGAUGCCUGGGUCAGGAAGAUCCCCUGGAGGAGGAAAUGCCAACCCACUCCAGUAUUCUUGCCUGGAAAAUUCUAUGGACAGAGGAACCUAGAGGUCUAAAGCCUGUGGGGUUGCAAACAGUCAGACACAACUUAGAAACUACACAACAGCAACAAUCAAAGAUUCGCCGAGACAACAGUAAUAAAAGAUGGCAGCGUAUAGCCUACCUGGAGAGAAAACUCAACAUGCAUAGAGGUGAGCAUUGGUCUGAUUUUAAUUUGUGAUCCAAAAAAAGAAAAAAGUUCAGGAGUAGCACAGUUUUAUAUUUGGAUGUUGUACCCAAGUGAAUAGGGACAGGUCGCCUUAUUUACAAAGCAAUUAAGAUAAUCAAAGCCAAGCCAAGACUAGGCUGUACUGUGGUGUGAAAGAUACCAUAAACAUCAUUUGCAUCUGUGUGUAGACAGUUGUUCAGCUAUAACAACGGUAGAAGGCUUGAAUUUGGUCCUUCAUUCUUUCAAAGUAAUUGCAGCUCGAUUAUGAAUCAGUGAACACAAUAUAUCCAGUCACUUGACAGAGGCAGUAAUAGGCUAAAUUAAUAGAAUAAGAGACUUAACUAAAGACCAAGGUUAUGUGUAUGGCAGUAUCAAAUCUAAUACAAAUUUAAUCCACAGGGGAAAAUGGUCAUUUCACAAAUACAUGAAUACAUUUAAACCAUUAGGAUUUACAAAAAUAAAAUGCUACUUCAGUCAUUUGAGUUUCACAUCUCCAUUUUUUCUUAAAUUGCAUGUCCAUAUGCAUAUGCCACAACCAAGAUUUACUAAUAUUUGAAUUUUGUACUUCUGCUGU